ACUCACCGGCCAGGCGAAACUGAAAGGCAGCACGAUGCGGUUGCGGUCGUUGCCGCGGCUGGCCUUGAGGUUGAAGGUGUUGCCCCCGAUGACAGGCGUGGACCCUGAGCCGAAGCUGCAGGGCCCCCCGGCCGUGACGCGGGACUGAUACUCCUUGAGGCACACUUUGAAGUAUGUGUCACACUCGUCGCGGGUGCACUUGCGGUCUCCCGGGUUCCGGGCGCCGCCGCAGCAGUUCCCGUUCUGCAGCUCCCCGUUCACGUUCUGCAUGGACAGGAUCUCCAACUCGAACUGACCCGAGGCCCCACACACCUGCCGGCGAGGGAAGGAGGUUGGACCAUAUAUUAUGGGAGCACCUUUUGCAAGGAUGAAAUACUCCGUCUGGGUAAGGCAUUUUCAUUGAAGCUUGUAGCUGUUUGUUUAGUUAUUUAAAUCAGGUUGAUGGAUGUAAAGUGAGCUCCUUCUACUCACCUGAAGCAGAAACAGUGCUAGGUGAUACUCAAAUCUCUGGGCACCCAAGAAGACUCCAAAUCUCAGCAUCUCUUGAAAUAGGUGGCAAUGUGUAACAGCAUUCUAGCCAAUGUAACAUAUUUUACGUCCAGGACUGGCCCCUAAAACAUUUUGCAUGAUCCUUCAACAUUCUUUUUUCCUUUCCUACUAGAUGGAUGGGAAUAAUUCAGCUGGGGAUUUGGAGGCCCUAAAGGGCAGUGUAGCCAAUGGACAGGUGAUCCCAGGUACCUGCAUGAGUGGAGGCAGGCCCUUCCUGCAGACCUGCACUGAACUAUAACGUGGGCAGUAAGUAACUAUACUUUGUGUUAAGCCACUAUGAUGUGGGGCUGUUUGUUACAACUGCAAAGAUUGCUGUCCUUGAUUAAUGCACCAUGCAAUGUUCUCCCAGGCUUAGUUUCUCUGCUUGAUUGCUCUCUUCAUGUUCAACUCUUAUAUGAGUUGGUGACACUUUGGUUGAAACAUUUCCAAGGACUGAAGAAUAUGUUUAUUAUCAAACCAACUGAUUAUGAAAAUAAUCUGUAUUUUUAAGGUAUGUGAAGGAGUAGGUAUACAUUUGUGCUUUGGGCCAAUUUUAUAUCUUUAAAAUAAAAAUACAUUAAAUAAGCAGGUAAUAUUAAUAAUUAAUAAUACCAUAUAAUGAUCUGUAAAGCAUAUAUUGAUAUGUAAAACACUGUGCUAAGUACACAUAUAUAAGCACAACUCUUAUAGCAAUGCUUUGAGGUAAAUGCUUUAUUAACUCCAUUUUACAGAUGAGGACACUGAGGCUUAAAGAGCUUAAAUAACUUACUAAAAGUUACAUAUGUGGAAAUAGUGGAAUGGAGCUUGGAGUCAAAGCAUACUAGGCUCUAAAACUUGGGCUCUCAAUCACUUUAUUAACCAUAAUAGAGACAUUAAUUCUCAGUCCUUAGACCUCUUAAGUCUCACCAUGAUUCAUGAUGAUAAUUAUCAGUGAUGAUUGACAUUUCUGUAUACUCACUCACUACUGCUCUGUGCUCUGUGCUGUAUGUGAGAUAGCUUAUUAAAAGUCUUCACAAUCAUCAUAUGAGACAGGCAUAUUACUGUCUGUUAUAUGUAUACCUAGUGUAUCUAGUAGUUACAGUAAGCACUCCAUAAAUAUAAA
Molecule: long non-coding RNA, 1630 nt
Organism: Homo sapiens (human)
Lineage: Eukaryota; Metazoa; Chordata; Mammalia; Primates; Hominidae
Source: Ensembl